GACGAACGCUGGCGGCGUGCCUAAUACAUGCAAGUCGAGCGGACUUUCAAGAAGCUUGCUUUUUGAAAGUUAGCGGCGGACGGGUGAGUAACACGUGGGCAACCUGCCUGCAAGACGGGGAUAACUCCGGGAAACCGGGGCUAAUACCGGAUAAUAUCUUCCUUCGCAUGAAGGAAGGUUGAAAGGCGGCGCACGCUGCCGCUUGCAGAUGGGCCCGCGGCGCAUUAGCUAGUUGGUGAGGUAACGGCUCACCAAGGCGACGAUGCGUAGCCGACCUGAGAGGGUGAUCGGCCACACUGGGACUGAGACACGGCCCAGACCCCUACGGGAGGCAGCAGUAGGGAAUCUUCCGCAAUGGACGAAAGACUGACGGAGAAACGCCGCGUGAGCGAAGAAGGGCUUCGGAUCGUAAAGCUCUGUUGUCAGGGAAGAACAAGUACCGUUCGAACAGGGCGGUACCUUGACGGUACCUGAACAGAAAGCCACGGCUAACUACGUG
This 499-nucleotide ribosomal RNA is filed under the name uncultured bacterium. RNAcentral describes it as "partial 16S ribosomal RNA". It matches the Rfam family "Bacterial small subunit ribosomal RNA", at positions 28 to 507 of the family's 1533-position model. The record is from RNAcentral.